AAGACUGUGAAUACAAAUGUUUUUUUUCGUUGUCUUUUAUCUAUUUAGUUAGCUACUCUUUAUUAUAGUGCCUAAAAACAACAAACAUCAAGAGACGUCUUCCUCCAACCAAAUCAACCAUAAAUUCGACAUCAGGACAGGAUGUCAAAAUUUAGCUUCAGGAGAAGUGAAAAGAAAGCCUUUAGACGGAUGGCCAGAGUCUUUGGCUGGCCGGCCUCGCUUGCCCUCUCCUGGGCUCUCUGAAGACCAUGAUGAUGAUGAUGAUGAUGACGACGAAGAGGAGGACGUAGAGAGAUUGGUUCUGUCAGAUGAAGAUGGUCAUGUCUACCAAUCUCUGGAUCGCCAGGGGAGAAGUCCGACCAGAGACAGAUAUGACAUCUACACCCAGCCUGUAAAACAGUGUUCUGUCAGAGGGCAGAGAGGAGACUGAUGACUCCGCCUUCGACAUGUCUCCUCUUCCUCCAGGUUGGUCACACACACACACACACACACACACACACACACACACACACACACACACACACACACACACACACACACACACACACACACACACUGUCUGCACUCACUUACUCACGCCCUGUCACCAAGCCCCAAUCACGCAAUGUCUGUCUGUCUGUCUGUCUGUCUGUCUGUCACAACAGUACAUCUAGUCUGUGAUAGUAUACUGUAAUCUGACUCAUGUAGUCACUGCCAUCAACACAUUAAUGUGUCCCAAAUGGUUCCUUAUGCCCUAUAUAGUGCACUACUUUAGACCAGAGC
Molecule: non-coding RNA, 762 nt
Organism: Salmo salar (Atlantic salmon)
Lineage: Eukaryota; Metazoa; Chordata; Actinopteri; Salmoniformes; Salmonidae
Source: RefSeq, a predicted model, not a curated record